AUUGAACGCUGGCGGCAGGCCUAACACAUGCAAGUCGAGCGGUAGCACAGAGAGCUUGCUCUCGGGUGACGAGCGGCGGACGGGUGAGUAAUGUCUGGGAAACUGCCUGAUGGAGGGGGAUAACUACUGGAAACGGUAGCUAAUACCGCAUAACGUCGCAAGACCAAAGUGGGGGACCUUCGGGCCUCAUGCCAUCAGAUGUGCCCAGAUGGGAUUAGCUGGUAGGUGGGGUAACGGCUCACCUAGGCGACGAUCCCUAGCUGGUCUGAGAGGAUGACCAGCCACACUGGAACUGAGACACGGUCCAGACUCCUACGGGAGGCAGCAGUGGGGAAUAUUGCACAAUGGGCGCAAGCCUGAUGCAGCCAUGCCGCGUGUGUGAAGAAGGCCUUCGGGUUGUAAAGCACUUUCAGCGGGGAGGAAGGCGGUGAGGUUAAUAACCUCAUCGAUUGACGUUACCCGCAGAAGAAGCACCGGCUAACUCCGUGCCAGCAGCCGCGGUAAUACGGAGGGUGCAAGCGUUAAUCGGAAUUACUGGGCGUAAAGCGCACGCAGGCGGUCUGUCAAGUCGGAUGUGAAAUCCCCGGGCUCAACCUGGGAACUGCAUUCGAAACUGGCAGGCUAGAGUCUUGUAGAGGGGGGUAGAAUUCCAGGUGUAGCGGUGAAAUGCGUAGAGAUCUGGAGGAAUACCGGUGGCGAAGGCGGCCCCCUGGACAAAGACUGACGCUCAGGUGCGAAAGCGUGGGGAGCAAACAGGAUUAGAUACCCUGGUAGUCCACGCUGUAAACGAUGUCGAUUUGGAGGUUGUGCCCUUGAGGCGUGGCUUCCGGAGCUAACGCGUUAAAUCGACCGCCUGGGGAGUACGGCCGCAAGGUUAAAACUCAAAUGAAUUGACGGGGGCCCGCACAAGCGGUGGAGCAUGUGGUUUAAUUCGAUGCAACGCGAAGAACCUUACCUGGUCUUGACAUCCGCAGAACUUAGCAGAGAUGCUUUGGUGCCUUCGGGAACUGUGAGACAGGUGCUGCAUGGCUGUCGUCAGCUCGUGUUGUGAAAUGUUGGGUUAAGUCCCGCAACGAGCGCAACCCUUAUCCUUUGUUGCCAGCGGUUAGGCCGGGAACUCAAAGGAGACUGCCAGUGAUAAACUGGAGGAAGGUGGGGAUGACGUCAAGUCAUCAUGGCCCUUACGACCAGGGCUACACACGUGCUACAAUGGCAUAUACAAAGAGAAGCGACCUCGCGAGAGCAAGCGGACCUCAUAAAGUAUGUCGUAGUCCGGAUUGGAGUCUGCAACUCGACUCCAUGAAGUCGGAAUCGCUAGUAAUCGUAGAUCAGAAUGCUACGGUGAAUACGUUCCCGGGCCUUGUACACACCGCCCGUCACACCAUGGGAGUGGGUUGCAAAAGAAGUAGGUAGCUUAACCUUCGGGAGGGCGCUUACCACUUUGUGAUUCAUGACUGGGGUGA
This 1463-nucleotide ribosomal RNA is filed under the name uncultured Klebsiella sp. RNAcentral's name for it is "bacterial SSU rRNA". It matches the Rfam family "Bacterial small subunit ribosomal RNA". Lineage: Bacteria; Pseudomonadati; Pseudomonadota; Gammaproteobacteria; Enterobacterales; Enterobacteriaceae. The record is from RNAcentral.